RNAcentral lists this ribosomal RNA (406 nucleotides) under uncultured bacterium. RNAcentral's name for it is "partial 16S ribosomal RNA". It matches the Rfam family "Bacterial small subunit ribosomal RNA", at positions 29 to 526 of the family's 1533-position model. The record is from RNAcentral.
AUUGAACGCUGGCGGCAGGCCUAACACAUGCAAGUCGAACGAGUGGCGGACGGGUGAGUAAUGUCUGGGAAACUGCCUGAUGGAGGGGGAUAACUACUGGAAACGGUAGCUAAUCCCGCAUACCAUCAGAUGUGCCCAGAUGGGAUUAGCUUGUUGGUGGGGUAACGGCUCACCAAGGCGACGAUCCCUAGCGGGUCGGAGAGGAUGACCAGCCAAACUGGAACGGGGACACGGUCCAGACGCCUACGGGAGGCAGCAGUGGGGAAUAUUGCACAAUGGGCGCAAGCCGGAUGAAGCCAUGCCGCGUGUAUGAAGAAGGCCUUGGGGUUGUAAAGUACGUUCAGCGGGGAGGCGUUACCCGCAGAAGAAGCACCGGCUAACUCCGUGCCAGCCGCCGCGGUAAUUC